UGGGGAAUCUUGCGCAAUGGGCGAAAGCCUGACGCAGCAACGCCGCGUGGGGGAUGAAUGCCUUCGGGUUGUAAACCCCUUUCAGCAGGAACGAAAAUGACGGUACCUGCAGAAGAAGGCCCGGCCAACUACGUGCCAGCAGCCGCGGUAACACGUAGGGGCCAAGCGUUGUCCGGAUUUAUUGGGCGUAAAGAGCUCGUAGGCGGUUGGGUAAGUCGGGUGUGAAAACUCCAGGCUCAACUUGGAGACGCCACCCGAUACUGCUCUGACUUGAGUUCGGUAGGGGAGUGGGGAAUUCCUGGUGUAGCGGUGAAAUGCGCAGAUAUCAGGAGGAACACCGGUGGCGAAGGCGCCACUCUGGGCCGAAACUGACGCUGAGGAGCGAAAGCGUGGGUAGCAAACAG
This 404-nucleotide ribosomal RNA is filed under the name uncultured bacterium. Its description in RNAcentral is "bacterial SSU rRNA". It matches the Rfam family "Bacterial small subunit ribosomal RNA", at positions 355 to 775 of the family's 1533-position model. The record is from RNAcentral.